Molecule: ribosomal RNA, 494 nt
Filed under: Chrysolina hyperici
Lineage: Eukaryota; Metazoa; Arthropoda; Insecta; Coleoptera; Chrysomelidae
Description: partial 16S large subunit ribosomal RNA
Rfam family: Bacterial large subunit ribosomal RNA (bases 370-494)
Source: RNAcentral
UAAUUUAAGGUCUAACCUGCCCACUGAAUUUUUAAAUGGCCGUGGUAUUUUGACCGUGCUAAGGUAGCAUAAUCAUUAGUUUUUUAAUUAAGAACUGGAAUGAAAGGUUGAAUAAGAAAAUAACUGUCUCUAUUAAAUUUAAUUAGAAUUUUAUUUUUAAGUUAAAAAGCUUAAUUAAUAUUAAAAGACGAGAAGACCCUAUAGAGUUUUAUUAUUUAAUAAAAAUUAUAUUUUAGUAUUUAUAUAUUUAAUUUAUUAAAUAAUUUAAUUGGGGUGAUUGAAAAAUUUAUUAAACUUUUUUUAUUUUUUAACAUUUAUUUAUGAUUAAAUGAUCCAUUAUUUUUGAUUAUAAGAUAAAAUUACCUUAGGGAUAACAGCGUAAUUUUUUUAGAGAGUUCAUAUUAAAAGAAAAGAUUGCGACCUCGAUGUUGGAUUAAAAUAAAUUUUUGGUGUAGAAGCUAAAAUAUUAGGUCUGUUCGACCUUUAAAAUUUUA